GUGGGGAAUCUUAGACAAUGGGGGAAACCCUGAUCUAGCCAUGCCGCGUGAGCGAUGAAGGCCUUAGGGUUGUAAAGCUCUUUCAGCUGGGAAGAUAAUGACGGUACCAGCAGAAGAAGCCCCGGCUAACUCCGUGCCAGCAGCCGCGGUAAUACGGAGGGGGCUAGCGUUGUUCGGAAUUACUGGGCGUAAAGCGCGCGUAGGCGGGCCAGAAAGUUGGAGGUGAAAUCCCAGGGCUCAACCUUGGAACUGCCUUCAAAACUCCUGGUCUGGAGUUCGAGAGAGGUGAGUGGAAUUCCGAGUGUAGAGGUGAAAUUCGUAGAUAUUCGGAGGAACACCAGUGGCGAAGGCGGCUCACUGGCUCGAUACUGACGCUGAGGUGCGAAAGCGUGGGGAGCAAACAGGAUUAGAAACCCUUGUAGUCC
This 425-nucleotide ribosomal RNA is filed under the name uncultured bacterium. Its description in RNAcentral is "partial 16S ribosomal RNA". It matches the Rfam family "Bacterial small subunit ribosomal RNA", at positions 354 to 796 of the family's 1533-position model. The record is from RNAcentral.